This 432-nucleotide unclassified non-coding RNA is filed under the name Neurolaena lobata. Its description in RNAcentral is "partial contains external transcribed spacer and 18S ribosomal RNA". The stretch from base 378 to 432 matches the Rfam family "Eukaryotic small subunit ribosomal RNA", at positions 1 to 55 of the family's 1831-position model. Lineage: Eukaryota; Viridiplantae; Streptophyta; Magnoliopsida; Asterales; Asteraceae. The record is from RNAcentral.
GCAACAACUUCCACCUGGCAUACCUUUUCAGUUGUCUGUUAAGGCUUGUAUCGCCUAAGCGGAUUAUUGGUUUCCUGUGUUGCCUACCUAAGUUGGGGAAUUGUCUUUGAUCUAUGUAGUUGCUUUUCGUCUUGUGUCAUAUACAUGGCAUGAGAUGAACCUUGAAGUUCUCCCUUUGAACCACAUUGUUAAUGAAUGAUUUGAUGUUGUGGCCCAUUGAGUGUUGCUUGGUAUCUUGGAUACAGAAUCUAUUGUUGGCAUAAAGGUUUCAUGUGAGCCUUGUUUUGCCAUCAUUUAGCAUUUGUGCUUCUUUAAAAAUGACUACCCGGCAUGUCUUGGCUUGUACUAGCAUGGCGGGUUAUGUCAGUGGGGAAUGCUACCUGGUUGAUCCUGCCAGUAGUCAUAUGCUUGUCUCAAAGAUUAAGCCAUGCA